RNAcentral lists this unclassified non-coding RNA (147 nucleotides) under soil metagenome. RNAcentral describes it as "partial internal transcribed spacer 1". The record is from RNAcentral.
UAAUAAGUGUUUUAUGGCACUUUUUAAAUCCAUAUCCACCUUGUGUGCAAUGUCAGUCGAUCUUCUUUUAUGGAGGAUCGACCAAACAUCAACCUUUAUUUUUUAACUCUUUGUCUGAAAAAUAUUAUGAAUAAACAAUUCAAAAUA